Molecule: ribosomal RNA, 233 nt
Filed under: uncultured bacterium
Lineage: Bacteria
Description: partial 16S ribosomal RNA
Rfam family: Bacterial small subunit ribosomal RNA
Source: RNAcentral
GAUCAUGGCUCAGGAUGAACGCUAGCGACAGGCUUAACACAUGCAAGUCUAGGGGCAGCAUGAGGUAGCAAUACCUUGAUGGCGACCGGCGCACGGGUGAGUAACGCGUAUGCAACCUGCCCGAUACCGGGGUAUAGCCCAUGGAAACGUGGAUUAACACCCCAUAGUACUUUUAUCCUGCAUGGGAUGUGAGUUAAAUGUUCAAGGUAUCGGAUGGGCAUGCGUCCUAUUAG